UGGUCGAUGCCCAGGACGUGCUUACUUCGCCUUCUAAGCGGGAGGUCGCGGGUUCAAAUCCCGCCCGGCCAC
RNAcentral lists this transfer RNA (72 nucleotides) under Gordonia phage VanLee. RNAcentral describes it as "tRNA-Arg". The record is from RNAcentral. Lineage: Duplodnaviria; Heunggongvirae; Uroviricota; Caudoviricetes; Kruegerviridae.